RNAcentral lists this ribosomal RNA (258 nucleotides) under uncultured bacterium. RNAcentral describes it as "partial 16S ribosomal RNA". It matches the Rfam family "Bacterial small subunit ribosomal RNA", at positions 524 to 776 of the family's 1533-position model. The record is from RNAcentral.
UACGUAGGGUGCGAGCGUUGUCCGGAAUUAUUGGGCGUAAAGAGCUUGUAGGCGGUUUGUCGCGUCUGCUGUGAAAAUCCGGGGCUCAACCCCGGACUUGCAGUGGGUACGGGGCAGACUAGAGUGUGGUAGGGGGAGACUGGAAUUCCUGGUGUAGCGGUGGGAAUGACGCAGAUAUCAGGAGGAACACCGAUGGCGAAGGCAGGUCUCUGGGCCACUACUGACGCUGAGAAACGAAAGCAUGGGGGAGCGAACAGG